GAUGAACGCUAGCGGCAGGCCUAAUACAUGCAAGUCGGACGGGAUAGGAGAGCUUGCUUUCCUUGAGAGUGGCGCACGGGUGCGUAACACGUAUGUAACCUACCUUCGUCAGGGGGAUAGCCUCUCGAAAGAGAGAUUAAGACCGCAUAACAUUGAGAUGCAGCAUUGCAAUUCAAUCAAAUAUUUAUAGGACGAAGAUG
RNAcentral lists this ribosomal RNA (200 nucleotides) under uncultured bacterium. Its description in RNAcentral is "partial 16S ribosomal RNA". It matches the Rfam family "Bacterial small subunit ribosomal RNA", at positions 28 to 227 of the family's 1533-position model. The record is from RNAcentral.